UACGUAGGGUGUGAGCGUUGUCCGGAAUUACUGGGCGUAAAGAGCUCGUAGGUGGUUUGUCGCGUUGUCCGUGAAAUUCCCUGGCUUAACUGGGGGCGUGCGGGCGAUACGGGCAGACUGGAGUACUGCAGGGGAGACUGGAAUUCCUGGUGUAGCGGUGGAAUGCGCAGAUAUCAGGAGGAACACCGGUGGCGAAGGCGGGU
RNAcentral lists this ribosomal RNA (203 nucleotides) under uncultured bacterium. Its description in RNAcentral is "partial 16S ribosomal RNA". It matches the Rfam family "Bacterial small subunit ribosomal RNA", at positions 524 to 726 of the family's 1533-position model. The record is from RNAcentral.